UUAAGUCUGAUGUGCCGCCCACGGCUCACCGUGGAAGGGUCAUUGGAAACUGGGGNACUUGAGUGCAGAAGAGGANAGUGGAAUUCCACGUGUAGCGGUGAAAUGCGUAGAGAUGUGGAGGAACACCAGUGGCGAAGGCGACUNUCUGGUCUGUAACUGACGCUGAGGCGCGAAAGCGUGGGGAGCNAACAGGAUUAGAUACCCUGGUAGUCCACGCCGUAAACGAUGAGUGCUAAGUGUUAGAGGGUUUCCGCCCUUUAGUGCUGCAGCUAACGCAUUAAGCACUCCGCCUGGGGAGUACGGCGCAAGACUGAAACUCAAGGGAAUUGACGGGA
RNAcentral lists this ribosomal RNA (335 nucleotides) under uncultured soil bacterium. Its description in RNAcentral is "bacterial SSU rRNA". It matches the Rfam family "Bacterial small subunit ribosomal RNA", at positions 583 to 918 of the family's 1533-position model. The record is from RNAcentral.